Non-coding RNA from Schistosoma curassoni, 45 nucleotides. Lineage: Eukaryota; Metazoa; Platyhelminthes; Trematoda; Strigeidida; Schistosomatidae. The record is from Rfam.
AUCCAGCUGACAAGUCCCAAAUAAGGCUAAACGUGAGUCCUAGAU